Molecule: long non-coding RNA, 5961 nt
Organism: Mytilus californianus (California mussel)
Lineage: Eukaryota; Metazoa; Mollusca; Bivalvia; Mytilida; Mytilidae
Exons: 3
Source: RefSeq, a predicted model, not a curated record
UACAUAUGCUUGUAAAUGUAUAAUAUAUACAGCAUUUCUAAAUAUUCAUCAUUCAUUUUUUUUUUAAAGAUUAUAACAAGCCAAAAAUUGUGUUUUAGUCAAUACAGCAUAUUCAAAAUUUAAAUUGAUGUUCCAUUGUUGAAAAUAACACUUCAAUUCCAUCAACAACAUUAUUACAUUUUUUAUCUAUCUUAAUCAGGGUCUAACAAAACGUAAUUUUGAACUGAACCAGGAAAGUUUCGACCUGCCAGAUAGUUAAAAUUGCAUGCCAUGCAAAAUACCAAGCAAACUGACAUACUGUAUCAGUCAAUCAGUACUAGAACUAGAUUGUACAAACAAUAAUUACAUUAAAAAUGUUUUGAUUUUAAGCACUAAUAAAAUAUAUUAUGAUAGCAUUUGUUAAAAUGCUUUAAAUUCAGUGUUACUGAUCGAUACAAUUUAACACACCCAUCUGGCAUACAAAUUUAUAAGCCUAAUAAGUUUGAUGAAUUAUGUUGUACUCCAUUAUCUUUUGCCAUCUUGAUUGUAAAAUAGCAGAACACAAUAUGUCUAAAUCUUUAAUUGAAUAAUUAUGCAAACGCUGAGACUGGAAUGCAAUUAAAAUAUAAUCUUUAAUUUAUCAUUUAUCAGAUUCCUAUGACUGUUUCUAUUAAUAGUAAAUACUAAAUUUUGAUGAUUUGUUUUGUUUGAUUGAAUUUAUUAACUCUAGGUAUCAAAAGUGAUGUAAAAAAGAAUACAAAUGUCACUGUACAUCGUAACAAACAUGUCGAUUUCAGAUAAAAUGCAAAUCAGAGACAGACAUUUGCCUCCGAGGCAAGCAUUCUGUGAUCAAUAUAAGAUAUGGGACAACUAUUGAAAAAGAGAGAAAGAGACUCUUAAAUCAUGCUAAAGAAAGGACAGUUACUCAUGACUGGGCAAAAGAAAAAUGAAUUUUACAAAAUAAUUUGAAAUCCAAUCAUCAAUGCAACAGAGGAAAAGAAACAUGUAGAGUAUAAUUAACUUUUUUUUUGUUUGCUGGUGGUUUGUACCACAGGAUUGUGUAAGCGUCUAGUGUGGUAAUAGCCAUAGGUUCCUUAUUACCGCUAGCUAGCCUGCUUUGUAGGUGAAAAGAAAGCCGAGUGUGUAAGUCUUUCUGCCAGUACAUAGCCUCUACACUAUUCAAGACUUCUACAAUGCUUCCCCGCGACAGCACAUGGUAACUAGGAUCUAGCAUCCUAGGCAUUAUUGUAGAGGAUCUCAGAGCAACAAGGACCCUAGAGAUGCAGUGUGUAGGCCCAUCGUUGCGUGGACACGCCCUUGCACUCAUCAACCUUGUCCCAACUAUGGUAAAUAGUACCACUACCUUGAAGUUAGAUCUGGGAAGAUCAAAGGCUAUGGGAGCAGACCCAGAAAGAAAAGAUGGGAAGAUGGAGCUCGUCAGCCAUGGUAGGCAAUCGUCUAUGGGAAGCAAAAUCCAGACAGCAAAAUUUCAUCCUGCAGAUAGUAGGUUUCACACAUGGCUUAUCACCAGGCAGAGUUAACAGAAGAUGAUUACGGAAACUACACAAAAAGAAACACCGAAUUUCGUGAACGAGGACAUACGUCAUACAGAUGACCAAUUUUUUUUUUUUUUUUUUUAUUCACGCUGCUUGAAAAGGUACUGAAUUUGAAAGAGCACAUACGAUUUUAUUGCUUUUCAAGGUAAAACCCAGAGUUCAAUGGAAGGAUCAGCAUUGCAAAUGUUUAUAACAUAUCCAAAUCAUGGUAAUGAUUUGUGCCUAAUUUGUAAGCAGCUUUUCUUUGCCAAAAGUGUAGAAAAGAUAUGCAUAAACUGCGAAUUGAAAAGCUUAACAUCUAUUGUACAACAUAGGCAUAUGCAAACGGAUGAAUACCAGAAUGAAGAAGAAAGCUUAAAUUGUAAGAUGAAGAAACAUAAUAGAUACGCAUGUGUUUUGUGUAAAGAUGUUUCAAAAUACAUCAUUCCUGAAAAUCCACCAGAGGAAAAACCCUAUAAUUGUGAUAUUUGUAACACAGCUUUCACACAGUCAUCAUCUCUGAACACCCACAAGCAAAUAAAACAUUCCAACCAAAAGCCAUAUAAUUGUAAUGUGGGAAAACAUUUGCAAUAAAAAAUUAUCUAACUGUGCAUUCACGCACUCAUAGCAGAGAAAAUAUAUCUUAUUUUUAUAUGGUAUCAGGGUAUUGAACUUAGAAUAUUUUGUACCUACAUUUUGAUAUACAUUAUUUACUAGUGAAGAACAUUCUAAGUUUCCAUAAUGCAUUUCAUACAUAUACAUGCGCAUAGCAUCUGGUAGGUUGAUAUUACUAAUAUUUUGGUCUAAAGAAAUUUCAAAACCAUUAUUAAGAACUAAAAAAAUGAUUAGUCAUGCAUGCCCUUCAGUAAUAUAUUGUUAUCAUAAGCAUUGUAUCUUUGCUGAGUUUUUUUUAUCAUGCAGCAAUAUAAAAUUUGUCAAGAUUUUUCGUAAAUCAAGACAAAUCCAAAUAAUUGAGAGGCAGAAGAAACCAAACGAAAAUUCAAUCUAAACUAACAAAGCAAUGGCAACAAAAAAAAAACAACAACAUAAAAAACAUGACAAGCAGCAGUCUACAAAACACAACAUUGAAAACUAAAGACUGAGAAUCGAAUAGGUGCUCCGAUAGGGUAAAUAGGUCCUGCUGCACCUAUCGUGCUAUAUGGUUACAGAUGACAGCAAGAAUUAUACACUAUGGUACAGUUGAACAAGGAUGUUACAGGUAGCAGUAGACGGCACAGUUGACAAACAAUGUUACAGGUAGCAGUAGAUGGUACAGAUGACAAAUGAUGUUACAGGUGGAGGUAGAUGGUACAGUUGACAAACAAUGUUACAGGUGGCAGUAGAUGGUACAGUUGACAAAUUAUGUUACAGGUGGCAGUAGAUGGUACAGUUGACAAAUGAUGUUACAGGUGGCAUAAGAUGGUACAGUUGACAAACAAUGUUACAGGUGGCAGUAGAUGGUAUAGUUAACAAGUGAUGUUACAGAUGCCAGUAGAAUGUACAGUUGACAAAUGAUGUUGCAGAUGGCAGUAGAUGGUAUAGUUGACAAAUUAUGUUACCAGUGGGCAGUGGCAGUAGAUGUUCAAGUUUAUAAACAAUGUCACAGCUGGCAGUAGAUGGUACAGUUGACAAAUGAUGUUACAGAUGACAGUGGAUGGUACAGUUGACAAAUGAUGUUACAGGUGGCAGUAGAUGGUACAGAUGACGAAUGAUGUUACAGUUGACAGUAGAUGGUACAGAUGACUAAUGAUGUUACAGGUGGCAGUAGAUGGUACAGUUGACUAAUGAUGUUACAGGUAGCAGUAGAUGGUACAGUUGACUAAUGAUAUUACAGUUGGCAGUAGAUGGUACAGAUGACUAAUAAUGUUACAGGUGGCAGCAGAUGGUACAGUUGACAAAUGAUGUUACAGAUGGCAGUAGAUGGUACAGUUGACAAAUGAUGUUACAGGUGGCAGGAGAUGGUACAGUUGACAAAUGUUGUUACAGAUGGCAGUCGAUGGUACAGUUGACAAACAAUUUUACAGGUUGCAGUAGAUGGGACAGUUGACAAAUGAUGUUAAAGGUGGCAGGAGAUGGUACAGUUGAUAAAUGAUGUUACAAAUGGCAGUAGAUGGUACAGUUGACAAACAUUGUUACAGGUGGCAAUAGAUAGUACAGUUGACAAAUGAUGUUACAGGUGGCAGGAGAUGGUACAGUUGACAAAUGAUGUUACAGGUGGCAGUAGUUGGUACAGUUGACAAAUGAUUUUCCAGAUGACAGUAGAUGGUACAGUUGACAAAUGAUGUUACAGAUGACAGUAGAUGGUAAAGUUGACAUAUGAUGUUACAGGUGGCAAUAGAUGGUACAGUUGACAAAUGAUGUUAUAGAUGGCAGUAGAUGGUACAGUUGACUAAUGAUGUUGCAGGUGGCAGUAGAUGGUACAGUUGACAAAUGAUGUUAUAGAUGGCAGUAGAUGGUACAGUUUAUAAACUAUGGUACAGGUGGCAGUAGAUGUUACAGUUUAUAAACUAUGUUACAAGUGGCAGUAGAUGGUACAGUUGACAAAUGAUGUUAUAGAAUGCAGUAGAUGGUACAGAUGACGAAUGAUGUUACAGGUGGCAGUAGAUGGUACAGUUGACAAAUAAUGUUAAAAGUGGCAGGAGAUGGUACAGUUGACAAAUGAUGGUACAGGUGGCGGUAGAUGGUACAGAUGACUAAUGAUGUUACAGGUGGCAGUAGAUGGUACAGUUGACAAAUUAUGUUACAGGUGGCAGUAGAUGGUACAGUUAACAAAUGAUGUUCCAGAUGACAGUAGAUGGUACAGUUGACAAAUGAUGUUACAGGUGGCAGUAGAUGGUACAGUUGACAAAUGAUGUUACAAGAUGCAAGAGAUGGUACAGUUGACAAAUGAUGUUACAGGUGGCAGUAGAUGGUACAGUUGACAAAUGAUGUUACAGGUGGCAGUAGAUGGUACAGUUGACAAAUUAUGUUACAGGUGGCAGUAGAUGGUACAGAUGACAAACAAUAUUACAGAUGGCAGUAGAUGGUACAGAUGACAAACAAUGUUACAGGUGGCAGUAGAUGGUAUAGUUAACAAGUGAUGUUACAGAUGCCAGUAGAUGGUACAGUUGACUAAUGAUGGUACAGGUGGCAGUAGGUGGUACAGAUGACUAAUGAUGUUACAGGUGGCAGUAGAUGGUACAGUUGACAAACAAUGUUACAGGUGGCAGUAGAUGGUACAGUUAACAAAUGAUGUUCCAGAUGACAGUAGAUGGUACAGUUGACAAAUGAUGUUACAGGUGGCAGUAGAUGGUACAGUUGACAAAUGAUGUUACAAGAUGCAUGAGAUGGUACAGUUGACAAAUGAUGUUACAGGUGGCAGUAGAUGGUACAGUUGACAAAUGAUGUUACAGGUGGCAGUAGAUGGUACAGUUGACAAAUUAUGUUACAGGUGGCAGUAGAUGGUACAGAUGACAAACAAUAUUACAGAUGGCAGUAGAUGGUACAGAUGACAAAUGACAUUACGGAUGACAGUAGAUGGUACAGAUGAUGAAUGAUGUUACAGGUGGCAAAAUAUGGUACAGAUGACAAACAAUGUUACAGGUAUCAGUAGAUGGUACAGAUGACAAAUGAUGUUACAGGUGGCAGUAGAUGGUAUAGAUGACAAAUGAUGUUUGAGAUGGCAGUAGAUGGUACAGUUGACAAAUGAUGUUACAGAUGACAGUAGAUGGUACAGAUGACGAAUGAUGUUACAGGUGGCAUAAGAUGGUACAGAUGACAAAUGAUGUUACAGAUGGCAGCAGGUUGUACAGAUGACAAAUGAUGUUACAGGUGGCAGUAGAUGGUACAGAUGACAAAUGAUGUUACAGGUGGCAGUAGAUGGUACAGAUGACAAAUGAUGUUACAGAUGGCAGUAGAUGGUACAGAUGAGGAAUGAUGUUACAGGUGGCAUAAGAUGGUACAGAUGACAAAUGAUGUUACAGGUAGCAGUAGAUGGUACAGAUGACAAAUGAUGUUACAAGUGGCAGGAGAUGGUACAGUUGACGAAUGAUGUUACAGGUGGCAGUAGAUGGUACAGAUGAGGAAUGAUGUUACAGGUGGCAGGAGAUGGUACAGAUGAGGAAUGAUGUUACAGGUGGCAGUAGAUGGUACAGAUGACAAAAGAUAUUACAGAUGGUAGUAGAUGGUACAGAUGACGAAUGAUGUUACAGGUGGCAUAAGAUGGAACCGAUGACAAACAAUGUUACAGGUAUCAGUAGAUGGUACAGAUGACAAAUGAUGUUACAGGUGGCAGUAGAUGGUACAGCUGACAAAUGAUGUUACAGGUGGCAGUAGAUGGUACAGAUGACAAAUGAUGUCACAGAUGGUAGUAGAUGGUACAGUUGACAAAUGAUGUUACAGAUGACAGUAGAUGGUAGAGUUGACAAAUGAUGUAACAGGUGGCAGUAGAUGGGACAGAUGACAAAUG